GUCAGAUCCAAGUACAAGGGCACUGAUGUGAAUACUGUUUUGGAAUAUGUGAAUACGCCAUGGGACAAUAGUUCAGUGAUGCAGGAAAACGUGCUCUACUUCCGGUCAUCUGACGUCCUGUCCCCCCGACCCUCCCAGCGUGUCUCCCCC
Molecule: long non-coding RNA, 150 nt
Organism: Haliotis rubra (blacklip abalone)
Lineage: Eukaryota; Metazoa; Mollusca; Gastropoda; Lepetellida; Haliotidae
Exons: 3
Source: RefSeq, a predicted model, not a curated record